GGUCUGCAUCUUUCGAAAAUUCUUACUUUCAAAGUUUCGAGACAUCGGGGUCAAUUUACAUUAAUUUUACUUUGACGGGACUAUAAAAUUUACUCAACUUAACCGAGUAUUCGAAUCAACCGAGUUCGACUCAUCAGAGGUAAUUAUGCAUUGAUCAAACAGGAAUUUUACCGGGACUUUAAAAUUACUUCGACUCAUUUGAGUUUACGACACAA
RNAcentral lists this long non-coding RNA (215 nucleotides) under Mytilus galloprovincialis (Mediterranean mussel). Lineage: Eukaryota; Metazoa; Mollusca; Bivalvia; Mytilida; Mytilidae. The record is from RNAcentral.